RNAcentral lists this ribosomal RNA (433 nucleotides) under uncultured bacterium. Its description in RNAcentral is "partial 16S ribosomal RNA". It matches the Rfam family "Bacterial small subunit ribosomal RNA", at positions 29 to 507 of the family's 1533-position model. The record is from RNAcentral.
AACGAACGCUGGCGGCAUGCCUAACACAUGCAAGUCGAACGAAGGCUUCGGCCUUAGUGGCGCACGGGUGCGUAACGCGUGGGAAUCUGCCCUUAGGUUCGGAAUAACAGUUAGAAAUGACUGCUAAUACCGGAUGAUGACGUAAGUCCAAAGAUUUAUCGCCUGAGGAUGAGCCCGCGUAGGAUUAGCUAGUUGGUGUGGUAAAGGCGCACCAUGGCGACGAUCCUUAGCUGGUCUGAGAGGAUGAUCAGCCACACUGGGACUGAGACACGGCCCAGACUCCUACGGGAGGCAGCAGUGGGGAAUAUUGGACAAUGGGCGCAAGCCUGAUCCAGCAAUGCCGCGUGAGUGAUGAAGGCCUUAGGGUUGUAAAGCUCUUUUACCCGUGAUGAUAAUGACAGUAGCGGGAGAAUAAGCCCCGGCUAACUCCGUG